Molecule: non-coding RNA, 117 nt
Filed under: uncultured Geminigera
Lineage: Eukaryota; Cryptophyceae; Pyrenomonadales; Geminigeraceae
Source: RNAcentral
CCACCCAAGAAAAAAAGAAAGGGAAAAAAAAAAACAUGUUUUGUAAUUUGGUCUUUGAGUCUUCAAAAGCGCGUGUGUCUCUUGUAUAUUUUCUAAAAGUGCUUUCAGAGAGGCUGU